Drosophila bipectinata is the source of this 382-nucleotide long non-coding RNA. RefSeq lists it as uncharacterized. The record is from RefSeq and is a predicted model, not a curated record. NCBI's taxonomy places the organism in Eukaryota, Metazoa, Arthropoda, Insecta, Diptera, Drosophilidae.
AGAAAUAAUGUAACGAUAUUUAAACUAUCUCUAAGAUGUUGACAUUACAAGUUUAUUAAAAAGUUUAUUUAAAAAGUGCUAAUUGAUUCCUUGCUGAAAAAGAUAAACUGAGAAGCCUUUUCUUUUUUUUCGCUGAGCUAAUUGUGGAAAGACAUGAUAGAUCUUAACAUCGGAAAAAAGCCAGAAGGUCUGCUGCAUAUGGCAAAAUUUAUCAUUUGAAGGCUAAGGAGAAAAAGUUAUCAACUGGUAAUAUGGCUGAUGUUCAAUAGUGAAGAGGUGAAGCUUAGCCUUGCAAACGCAAAAUUUGAUCUUACUUUUGAGUGGCGCAAAAGUUUCUUUUUCUAGGACGAUACAAGUGUAGCUACACUUAGCUUAGGAGGAA